CGAAGCUAGCUGGCUCACGCAGCUCUCUGCAGACCAGGCUUGGGCGUUAUCUCAGAGGCCGAAUGCUCUCAGGGGCAUGCGAGUUUUAUGAAGAGCACAUUUCCUGCAGACAGCAGGCCGGCUUCCUUCCUCAUGGGAGGCCCAGAAGGAUUUCUCCAGAAGGAAGAAGCAGAGCAUAUACGCGGGGAAGCUCAACUUUCUCCCCGUGGUGCAGAUGUGCACGUGUCCGGGCCCCUCCACCUCCCACGGGGCCCGGGCCCAGGAGUGACG
This 270-nucleotide long non-coding RNA is filed under the name Fukomys damarensis (Damara mole-rat). Its description in RNAcentral is "lncRNA (ENSFDAG00000030888.1)". The record is from RNAcentral. Lineage: Eukaryota; Metazoa; Chordata; Mammalia; Rodentia; Bathyergidae.